ACAUGCAGUCGACGGUGAGCACGACCAGAGAGCUUGCUCCUUGGGUGACGAGUGGCGGACGGGUGAGUAAUGUCUGGGAAACUGCCCGAUGGAGGGGGAUAACUACUGGAAACGGUAGCUAAUACCGCAUAACGUCGCAAGACCAAAGAGGGGGACCUUCGGGCCUCUUGCCAUCGGAUGUGCCCAGAUGGGAUUAGCUAGUAGGUGGGGUAACGGCUCACCUAGGCGACGAUCCCUAGCUGGUCUGAGAGGAUGACCAGCCACACUGGAACUGAGACACGGUCCAGACUCCUACGGGAGGCAGCAGUGGGGAAUAUUGCACAAUGGGCGCAAGCCUGAUGCAGCCAUGCCGCGUGUAUGAAGAAGGCCUUCGGGUUGUAAAGUACUUUCAGCGAGGAGGAAGGCGUUGUGGUUAAUAACCGCAACGAUUGACGUUACUCGCAGAAGAAGCACCGGCUAACUCCGUGCCAGCAGCCGCGUAAUACGGAGGGUGCAAGCGUUAAUCGGAAUUACUGGGCGUAAAGCGCACGCGGGCGGUCUGUCAAGUCGGAUGUGAAUCCCCGGGCUCAA
This 570-nucleotide ribosomal RNA is filed under the name bacterium tet-w-20. Its description in RNAcentral is "bacterial SSU rRNA". It matches the Rfam family "Bacterial small subunit ribosomal RNA", at positions 53 to 612 of the family's 1533-position model. The record is from RNAcentral.